GGCGCCGGGUGCCCCAGGCCAAGCAGAUGGCCGUUGUGGGCAGUCCCGCAGAGCCCAGCCAGAAAUGUCCCUGAGGAAAGUAUUCCCGGGACCCAGCCCGGGCUGUGCGGAAAAGAGCGCGCGGAGCAGGGCUGGCUUACUGCCUCCACGCCCGCCUCGGUUCCCCCGUAGUUCAUCUGCCUGGAUGGGGGUCCUUGUCCCCAGCUGAGCCGCGCACGCUUCGGUCUCCUUCGCCUCCGCGCACUGAUGGCUUGAAACCAAAUGUACUUUCUGUUAAUACUCAGAACCAUGGCCUUGCUAAAGAUAACUCUAAAUACAUGCAUUACAAUUUGUUUAAAGCUUCGGUGGCAAUAAUCAGGAAAGGAGUAGGGCACCAGGAAGAAAGAAGUCUGGCAUCUUGGCUGUGGGCCCUGGUGACCUGGGCUGGUCUCAGAUGUGGGGCAGGACUGAACUCCAAGCUGAAAACUAUGAAGGAUGAUCUGAGAGGCAGCCUCAGGAAUGAAACCAGAGUCACAAGCCAGCACACAGUACAACUGAGGCAUCAAUCCAACCAGGCUGCACAGGUGACACCCCAGGGCUGAGGCCUAUGUCAGGGGAGAGCCUGCAAACGAUAGAAAAGGAUCAGGAGACUAACUUAGGGCAAAGGAGUGGGAGAGAUUGGAAGAAAAUAAAAUCAUAGGAAGAACUAAAGACACAGACUUGGCAGAGACCGGAGCUGGGAGACAGCUGAACUCAGAAUCUUCUUUUUGGACUUUGCCUUCCAAAAGAGUCAACUGCUUCUCUGUAUAGACUUGUGUGAAUGACCUGGAAUCCCAAGAACUUGGAAAGACCCAGCCUACACCAUGAUAGGUGGUGGGGUGAGUGGAGAGCUCCCUGGCUGAUGUGUGUACUGUGACCACAGGGAGAUGUACGUGGAUACAGAACAGAGACUCUGGAGGGCAGAGGCAAGCUCUCCAUUACA
Long non-coding RNA from Chinchilla lanigera (long-tailed chinchilla), 961 nucleotides. RefSeq lists it as uncharacterized. The transcript has 3 exons. The record is from RefSeq and is a predicted model, not a curated record. NCBI's taxonomy places the organism in Eukaryota, Metazoa, Chordata, Mammalia, Rodentia, Chinchillidae.